RNAcentral lists this ribosomal RNA (423 nucleotides) under uncultured bacterium. Its description in RNAcentral is "bacterial SSU rRNA". It matches the Rfam family "Bacterial small subunit ribosomal RNA", at positions 207 to 622 of the family's 1533-position model. The record is from RNAcentral.
AAGACCUUGCACUUUUGGAGCGGCCGAUGUCUGAUUAGCUAGUUGGUGGGGUAAUGGCCUACCAAAGCUUCGAUCAGUAGCUGGUCUGAGAGGACGGCCAGCCACACUGGGACUGAGACACGGCCCAGACUCCUACGGGAGGCAGCAGUGGGGAAUUUUGGACAAUGGGCGCGAGCCUGAUCCAGCCAUGCCGCGUGAGUGAAGAAGGCCUUCGGGUUGUAAAGCUCUUUCAGCCGGGAAGAAAAGGUUGCGAUUAAUAAUCGUAAUUUAUGACGGUACCGGAAGAAGAAGCACCGGCUAACUACGUGCCAGCAGCCGCGGUAAUACGUAGGGUGCGAGCGUUAAUCGGAAUUACUGGGCGUAAAGGGUGCGCAGGCGGUUUUGUAAGUCAGAUGUGAAAUCCCCGGGCUUAACCUGGGAACU